Molecule: transfer RNA, 90 nt
Filed under: Acidobacteriota bacterium
Lineage: Bacteria; Pseudomonadati; Acidobacteriota
Description: Acidobacteria bacterium (groundwater metagenome) tRNA-Ser
Rfam family: tRNA
About the family: Transfer RNA (tRNA) molecules are approximately 80 nucleotides in length. Their secondary structure includes four short double-helical elements and three loops (D, anti-codon, and T loops).
Source: RNAcentral
GGAGGGAUGGCCGAGUGGUUUAAGGCGGUGGUCUUGAAAACCACAGUACGUUAACGCGUACCGCGGGUUCGAAUCCUGCUCCCUCCGCCA